AGAAUCAACGCUGGCGGCGUGCCUAACACAUGCAAGUCGAACGAGAAAGGGGAGCAAUCCCUGAGUACAGUGGCGACCGGGUGAGUAACACGUGACUAACCUACCCUCGAGUGUGGAAUAACAUCGGGAAACCGAUGCUAAUACCGCAUAACAUCGCAAGAUCAAAGGAGUAAUCCGCUUGAGGAGGGGGUCGCGGCUGAUUAGCUAGUUGGCGGGGUAAUGGCCCACCAAGGCGAAGAUCGGUAUCCGGCCUGAGAGGGCGCACGGACACACUGGAACUGAAACACGGUCCAGACUCCUACGGGAGGCAGCAGUGGGGAAUUUUUGCGCAAUGGGGGAAACCCUGACGCAGCAACGCCGCGUGGAGGAUGAAGCCCCUUGGGGCGUAAACUCCUUUCGACCAAGACGAUAAUGACGGUACUGGUGGAAGAAGCACCGGCUAACUCUGUCGCCAGCAGCCGC
RNAcentral lists this ribosomal RNA (462 nucleotides) under uncultured bacterium. RNAcentral's name for it is "SSU rRNA". It matches the Rfam family "Bacterial small subunit ribosomal RNA", at positions 26 to 518 of the family's 1533-position model. The record is from RNAcentral.